RNAcentral lists this long non-coding RNA (6068 nucleotides) under Sus scrofa (pig). Its description in RNAcentral is "lncRNA (ENSSSCG00055027719.1)". Lineage: Eukaryota; Metazoa; Chordata; Mammalia; Artiodactyla; Suidae. The record is from RNAcentral.
AAUCGGAGCUUCAGCUGCCAGCCUAUGCCACAACCAUAGCAACUCAGGAUCUGAGCCCCACCUGUGACCUAUACCACAGCUCACAGCAAUGCUGGAUCCUUAACCCACUGAGCGAGGCCAGGGGUUGAACCCGCGUCUUCAUGAAUGCUAGUCAGAUUCAUUUCCACUGAGCCAUGAUGGGAACUCCGUCGGUUUUCUCAUCUGUGGAAUGGGAGUGUUGAGAGCACCAAACCACUCACCCACCCCCGCCCCUGCCAAGGAUGAUGUGUCCAUUAAAUGAGAGCUAUGGAAAGUGUUGGCAUAAUGCCUGGUGCAGUGCCUGGCACAUAGACAAUACUAUUAGGAUAGUUAUUGUUAUGGUUGUUAUGGUGGUGGUCUGGUAAACAUUUGCUUCCUCUGGGGCCUGGAAGCCCCAUCACUAGGCUUUUUUCUGUCACAUCAUCAUCACAUGAAAAUGGGGGAUAUUGAAGAAAUCACCCCAGAGGAGAUUUCCUCCAGCUCCGCCCAGGAGAUGCACCCUUCCUGUAGUCUGGGGUUGGAGGGCUUCCGAGGCCCCUGGGUGACCACACCACGCAGAGGCUUCUGCAUCCCAUCCGGGCAGAUGGCGUCCCCUGGGUCCUUCGUUAAUUAUCCCACAGCAGAACCUCGCCACUUCCCAUUCUAAUACCCCGUAAUCGGCCAAGAAACCUUGCAAUUCGCUAUUUGGAAACAAUUAGCCCAGUUCACGGCCUCUGCAGCAUCAAUUAAUGUGGACGUGAACAUAAAUUAUGGGGAAGCAGGAACGGCCACCAGGGGAUGAGGUCACAGCAACCGUAAACCUCUGGCUCAGAUGAGGUUCCCUGGGAAGGGGGCUGACAGUGGGGGUCCUUCACCUUCCAUCAUACAGGUGGGGGCUGCUCUCCACUGGGAACCUCCAGGGACCCAGAGUCAGAAGCCUCUGGCCAGGGCCUCUGAGCUCAGGUUCAAGGGUGUGUGGGGGAGGUACCCUGGUCCUCCAGGGCACAGAUGGGCCACCUUGGCCAUCCCCCUGCCUCCACACAGGCUGCCCCAGCACCUCCUCAACCUAAGAGGAAGAUGCUGCAAACCCAUUGAUCUCUGGGUCUCAGUUUUUGGGGGACACUUGGGCCAAGACAGUACAGAUGCCCUUCACCCUCCCUGGGACAGGUUGAGGGUGAUUCCUGGAUUAGGACCUUUCUCAAGAAGUCCCAGCCCAACUCUUCAGGAAGCAAAUGCUCAGAGGCCAGGCAGACUCUGGCUUGAGUCCCAGCUUGGCCACGUAUUGGCCAUGUGACCAUGUACAUGUCUCUCGAUCUCUCCAAGCCUCAGUUUUCACAUCCACGAAGUGGGGAUCUAAAAACUCGAGCAGACAAAUGGGCUCAGCACAGUGGACUUUGGUCAGUGGGGGUUGCUAUUGGAGUAAAAGUUAACAGAAAAUAUAGGGCUCCCUUAUAGGGCUUCAGAGCAUCCCAGAAUGCUUUAAAACCACAGCCUCCAUGGAGCCUCCUGAAGGGUGACAAAAGGAAAUAGACCAUCAGGCAUUUCUAGGCUACAGGAGAAUCCACAUUCCAACUCGCUGACUGGCUCUCAGCGGGGCUGGGGGGUGGGGGGAGAGAAUGCUUACCGCCCAUUGCUGGGAGACAUCAGCUCUCCGUGAUUAGUGCCCAGCUUUCCCCAAGGCCAGGGCUUCAAGAGACGGCCAAGCACCAGGUUAAACACCGUGUAGGUAUGAUCUGACUUAAUCCUCACAAAGGCAAGAAGACAGAAGCCUCGAUCUUUUGGGAACCCAGUCUCAGAAGUGGCAUCCAUCACUUGAGCUGUGUUCUCUUCAUUAGAAGCAAAUCACUAGGUCCCAGCCACACUUGUAUGGGAGGGCUUCCAGGGAUGCGAGGGACAGCUAAAGGGAGGCAGGGGUCAUUGGGGUCAUGGUGUGGGUUGCCUACCCCAAAGGGACAGUGAGCAUCCUUACAUGUCCUGGGCACUGGAUUAAAUGCUUUGUGGUCAUCAUGCAUUCAAUCCCCACUAGGGCCCUGUGGGCUAAGUAUUACCCACCCCUUGGCAAGGGAUGAUCAGAACAAGGGAUCAUCUAACAGAGAAAGACAACUGUCCCCUUUAAAGAUGGGGUGCUGGUAGGCAGGAAAGGAGAAUGCAUACAAAGCGGCCAAAAAAAAAAAAAAGAGGUCUGCCAAAUACUGUUACUGUCCCUAUGUCAUGGGUAAGAAAGUCAAGGCUCAAAGGAGUUUGGUAACUUGCCCAGAAAUUGGGAGGAGCUGCUGCAAUUCAAACCGUGUUUUUAUCACUGGCUUCUCACCCCACAAAGGUCAGGCCACUGUCCUUUGGGUUCCAGCCACAGACUGUUUGUGCCGCCCAGAACAUGGGAAGUUGAACGUCUGAUUAAUGGGGUCAGGAAGCCAGCCUACUGGCUGGUCAAGGGAACGUUGCAAAUGACCCGUAAUUUGGUAAUGCGAUUUCCUUGCCUGGGGCAGAGUGCUCCCAGCCAACAGAAGCAAACUCCUUAGCCUCCCUGGCUGGGUCUCAUUGGAGGCUUGAAGGUGACUGGAGAAUUGUAGUCAGCCUUGUUUGCUCAGGUUAAAAUCAGGAGAGCCGAGCUGAUCCCAUUGGGAAGAAACUGCCAUGAACUAACUCCAAAGGUGGUCAAGCACAGUGGCGGCACCCAGGAGGCCCAGAGAAUGGUCUUGUCCCUUCCUGACCCCAAGGCAGCCUUCCAGGUGUGGCAGAGCUCACACCCAGGAGGGACGGGAACUUACACCCCAGGCAGGCCUGGCUCCCCUUCCCACCUCCGCCAAGACCUGACUGUAGGACCUCAGCAAGCCACAAAUCCCUGUAAGCCAGUUGCUAGCCUGCGAAGUGGAAGUGACGAUAAUCCAACCUUGCAGGGCCCUGUGAGGAUGAGACAAGCUAGGGCCUGUAGCACCCAUCGUAGCAUCUGUGCUGAGCCAACACUGGCUCUCCUUGGAGAGCGGGAUGGGCCAGGCAGAGGCCCGUCCUCCCAGUACUGGGCUCCCCGUGCUGGGCACAGACUUGGCUAAUCAAUUAGACGAUCGGAAUGCAACUGCUGGACAGGGUCAGGGCUCAAAAGAGGCAAAUUCAGACGUUGGAACCAUUCCCAGGUUUGGAGUCGUUAUGAAGUGGGUCAUGGCCAGAAUCCUGAAGAAACCUUUGGUCAGAAGAGUCAUCCACGGCAACUGGGUGUGUUUCAACCACCUUUAAAGAACACAGUGGCCCCAACACCUGGGCACUCUUUUCUUUAGUGGUGGUUUCCCUUCAGUUUGGCAGAGGGGAUGAAAUCCUCUCUGUCGAAGCUCAUGUCCACCAGUUUCCUAAGGACAGGGGAGGGGAAAUGCUGCCUGUGAGUUUGGGGGCUGCUGGCUGCAGAUGGUCAGAUAUUAAAUUCUCCACCACAUCCCAUCUGGUGGCUGCUCUGGCUGGCCAGAAGAAUUCCCCCAGGCCAGCUCUGGGCUCUGGCAAGCCAUUUUGCCCCAGCCCGACCCUCUGGUGACCCUCAGUCAGGACUGUGCUCAGCUUAUUAGCAGGGUCCGCCCCCUCCAGUCAAGCAUCCCCUCAUCUGCUGCCAAGGUGACCACCUCUGCUCUCCCCUCUACGUCUGCUCCCCCUUCUGAGUCUGCUCCCUCCUCCGAGACUGCUCUGCCCUCUGAGUCUGCUCCCCCUGCCCCCGCCCCGCUCCGAGUCUGCUCCCCAGAGCUGGAGCUGGAAGAACACAGCACUUGGCAGCAGAUCUACCAGGAGGCACGUCCUGGCUCCUCUGGGCCUUGGCCAGGACCCGAGGCUCCAUUUCCUCCUCUGAUUUUCCUACAUCCCCUGGCCAUGGGACUGGUGAAAUUGGGGACCACACAUGUAGAGGAGGGUCUGUCACCCUGGGCACUUUUGAUGUAUUGGUCUAGAUAAUUCUUCGGGGUGGGGGGCUGUCCUGUGCUUUGUAAGGCAUUAGGCACCAUCCUUGAGCUCCACCUGGAGAUGAUAGUAGCACCCCUCCCCCAGUUGUGACAACAAAAAUGUCUCCAGACAUGGCCACAUGUCCCCCGGGGGGGUCAGGCUGGCCCCCACAGAGAAUCACAGGUGUGCGUGUGUGAUGCCAUGCCUGGCAUGCAGUGAACCCUGCAUAGACAGAGGCUGAGUCUGACCAGCACCCGUUUUCUAAGUUCAAAGUGGUAGCAGUUUCGAACAACACUGCAGGCCCCGCGGUAAGUGCUCAGCAUAUGUUUGCUGUGCUUGUGGAUGUCUUGCCAGAGGCCCUUUCGAGUCCUUUGAAAGGAAGUUUUGAAAUCUGUGGUUCAACAAUCAUACAUCACACGUGUAAGGACAGCUUAGACCAGCCUGGGAGAUACAUGCAUGGGCCUGGUUCUUUUUUAUAUUUUUUAAUUGAUUUUAUUCACGUAGAGUUGAUUUACCAUAUUGUGUUAGUUUCUUGAGUACAGCAAAGCAACUCACUUGUAAUAUAUAUAUAUGUGUGUGUAUAUAUUUUUUCAUAUUCUUUUCCAUUAUGGUAUAUUACUGGAUAUUGAAUUUAGUCCUCUGUGCUUUGCAGUAGGACCUUGUUUAUCCAUCCUCUAUAUGAUGAUUUGCAUUUGCUAAUCCCAAACUCCCAAUCCAUCCCUUCCGCAUACCCCUCACACCUUGGCAACCACCAGUCUGUUCUCUAUGUCUGUGACUGUUUCUGUUUUGUUGCUAAAUUCAUUUGUGUCAUAUUUUAGAUUCUACAUGGAAAUAUCAUAUGGUAUUUGUCUUUCUCUGUCUGAUAAGCUCUAGUUGCGUCCACGUUGCUGCAAAUGGCAUUAUGUCAUCCUUUUUAUGGCUGAGUAAUCUUCCAUUGCGUAUAUGUACCACAUCUUCUUAAUCCAUUCAUCGGUUGAUGGGCAUUUAGGGUGCUUCUAUGUCUUGACUGUUGUAAAUAUUGCUGCUAUGAACAUUGGGGUGCAUGUAUCUUUUUGAAUUAUAGUUUUGUCCGGAUAUUUGCCCAGGAGUGGUUUUCCUGGAUCAUAGGACAACUCUAUUUUGAGCUUUUUGAGGACCCUCCAAACUGUUUCCCAUAGUGGCUGCACCAAUUUACAUUCUCUGGGCCCAGUUCUUAAGUAGGUGAGAGAAGGGGGCUGGGGGAGAAGGGGGGAUUAUCCUGGUAACUUGCCCGUGGGCACCAGUGUCACCACAGAGCAAUGUCGGCAGGGUACCCAGAGCACCGUGUGGGGAGGGGUUUCUGCUGCUCUGCCCGGAGCGUGGCUGCCCAGCUGGCAGGUCAGGAAAUAAGCACUGACACCUGCUGGAUCUUGAGGCUUGAGUGGGAUUUCUUUUAAUGCAAGGAGAGGAAGGGAAGUCCUGGCAGAGGGUACAGAAUUUUCCCUGCAGCUGGAAAAUUCUCAGCUUUUGAUUUACAGGUUAUCUGACAUUUGCGGGGGAAAUAUGCAAAAAGAGAAAGAGCAGCAGACUCCCUCUAUCCGGCCUUGCUGGGAGUGGCUCCUCUGGACGAGGCCAGCAGUGCCCCUAGGUGGGACAGCCCCUGCCAGGUUUCCAGGAGCCACAUCCUUUCUUUUUCAACCUCAUUAUCCCAGAACUAUUUGGAUCCUGCUCGGGGGAUUCUGCUGUACUAGGGUGGCCAAAGGUCCCAGUUCUCCCAGAGCUGAGGGAAUUUCCAGUACGUGGAAGUUUCAAUACUGAGAUCAGCAUCCCUGUCAAACCAGCACAGUAGGUCACCCUGCCUGUGGCCCCUUGGCUUGCUGGCUCUUUAUCCCACACCAUCCAGGGCUUCUACAGGCAAACCAGCCUCAGGGGGAUUCAGACCCACUUCCACCCGCCAGGCUCCUAAUCCCACUUAAAGGGCAGGAUCUGACCAGGUGGUCCAACAGCUGUUUUCCAGCUGCUGGGCAAAGCCCAUCUCUCUGAGGGGGGAGAAUCCAGGAACAGCUGGUGAGACGCAGAGAGGGAAAGGAGCUUGCUCAGGGCCACCCAGGGAGUCAGCAGCAGAGUGGGAACUGGAGGCCAGUCCUCUGGAUAAGCAGAAUCAUUUCCAUUUCCAUUUCAAUGUAAAGCAGACUAAU